Molecule: ribosomal RNA, 520 nt
Filed under: uncultured Glomus
Lineage: Eukaryota; Fungi; Glomeromycota; Glomeromycetes; Glomerales; Glomeraceae
Description: SSU rRNA
Rfam family: Eukaryotic small subunit ribosomal RNA
Source: RNAcentral
AGCAGCCGCGGUAAUUCCGGCUCCAAUAGCGUAUAUUAAAGUUGUUGCAGUUAAAAAGCUCGUAGUUGAAUUUCGGGAUUAGUACGUUGGUCGUGCCUUAGGUACGUACUGGUGUUACUGGUUCCUACCUUCUGACGAACCAUCAUGUCAUUAAUUUGGUGUGGCGGGGAAUCAGGACUGUUACUUUGAAAAAAUUAGAGUGUUUAAAGCAGGCUCGCGCUUGAAUACAUUAGCAUGGAAUAAUGAAAUAGGACGUUGACCCUAUUUUGUUGGUUUCUAGGAUUGACGUAAUGAUUAAUAGGGAUAGUUGGGGGCAUUAGUAUUCAAUUGUCAGAGGUGAAAUUCUUGGAUUUAUUGAAGCUAACUACUGCGAAAGCAUUUGCCAAGGAUGUUUUCAUUAAUCAAGAACGAAAGUUAGGGAUCGAAGACGAUCAGAUACCGUGUAGUCUUAACCAUAAACCUAUGCCGACUAGGGAUCGGAUGAUGUUAAUUUUUAAUGACUCAUUCGGCGCCUUACGGG